Molecule: long non-coding RNA, 372 nt
Organism: Antechinus flavipes (yellow-footed antechinus)
Lineage: Eukaryota; Metazoa; Chordata; Mammalia; Dasyuromorphia; Dasyuridae
Exons: 3
Source: RefSeq, a predicted model, not a curated record
UAUUUCUGUUUCUUUUAGACGGUUAUUCUAAUAUUUAUUCCUGAGGAGAGAAGUCUCAAAGUAACAAAUUUGUACAUAAUGCUAUUUCCAUUCAAUUCACCAGCAAAUAAUUGCUGGUUAAAUCCAGGAAGCUGCAGUCAAGUAGAUACCUACACCCCCACAAAAGAAACUGAUCUUAGAAUCUGGGAAGUGCUGAUUGUUUAAAACCCAAAGUAAAUGGCUUAUAGAAACUGAGACCAGCUAGGAUCACAGCGCAACACUAUGGAGCUUAGAAAUUUCUGGAAAUACACAUGUUGGCUUUAAUGGGUUUCUAGCUUCAAAAUAGUCUGACCUUAGCUGGUCAAAGUUUUCAUCUUGGAACAAAUUCCCCAC